Molecule: ribosomal RNA, 306 nt
Filed under: Drosophila pulaua
Lineage: Eukaryota; Metazoa; Arthropoda; Insecta; Diptera; Drosophilidae
Description: partial 12S ribosomal RNA
Source: RNAcentral
AUAAUUUGUUAUUAAUUUGAUUUAUAUGUAAAUUUUUGUGAGAAUUUUCAUUUAUUUUAAAAAUAUGUGAAUUUUUUGGAAUCGCAGUAAUUAGUUUUAUUAAUUAAAGAAAUUUAGAAAUAGCAAUAUUAAAAAGUAUAGAUAAAAUUGGUGCCAGCAAUCGCGGUUACACUAAUUAUACAAAUGAAUUUUUUUAGUAAUAGUUGAAUUGAUUUAAUAUAUAUAAAUAUAAUUAAAUUUAUUAAGUGAAAUUUUAAAUUUAAAUUUUUAUAAAAUUAUUAAUUGAAGCUAAAAAAUUUUAAUAAA